UACGGAAGGUCCGGGCGUUAUCCGGAUUUAUUGGGUUUAAAGGGAGCGCAGGCGGCAUGUUAAGCGUGACGUGAAAUGGUGCGGCUCAACCGCAGCAGUGCGUCGCGAACUGGCGUGCUUGAGUGAGUGCGACGUCAGCGGAAUUCGUGGUGUAGCGGUGAAAUGCUUAGAUAUCACGAAGAACUCCGAUUGCGAAGGCAGCUGACGAGUCCUUUACUGACGCUAAAGCUCGAAGGUGCGGGUAU
RNAcentral lists this ribosomal RNA (245 nucleotides) under uncultured Prevotella sp. RNAcentral describes it as "partial 16S ribosomal RNA". It matches the Rfam family "Bacterial small subunit ribosomal RNA", at positions 524 to 768 of the family's 1533-position model. The record is from RNAcentral. Lineage: Bacteria; Pseudomonadati; Bacteroidota; Bacteroidia; Bacteroidales; Prevotellaceae.